This 305-nucleotide ribosomal RNA is filed under the name uncultured bacterium. RNAcentral describes it as "partial 16S ribosomal RNA". It matches the Rfam family "Bacterial small subunit ribosomal RNA", at positions 337 to 656 of the family's 1533-position model. The record is from RNAcentral.
GCCUACGGGGGGCAGCAGUGGGGGAUAUUGCACAAUGGGGGAAACCCUGAUGCAGCGACGCCGCGUGAGUGAAGAAGUAUUUCGGUAUGUAAAGCUCUAUCGGCAGGGAAGAAAAAAAUGACGGUACCUGACUAAGAAGCCCCGGCUAACUACGUGCCAGCAGCCGCGGUAAUACGUAGGGGGCAAGCGUUAUCCGGGUUUACUGGGUGUAAAGGGAGCGGAGACGGGGCAGCAAGUCUGAUGUGAAAGGUCGGGGCCCAACCCCCGGACUGCAUUGGAAACUGUUGAACUGGAGGACAGGAGGG